GUCCUAGGAUUAACAAAUCACUCCUACUUCCCCAGCCAGUUUGCUACUGCGCACUCUCAGUUAUGUUUGUUUGGUUUUUUUUGGUGCCGGGGAUCGAACUAGGGUGCUUGAACUACUGCAUACUCUCAAUCAGCCUGAGGUCCAGCUUGGCUGUUCUAGGACAUCAUAUGAAUACAAUCAUACAAUGUGGACUCUGGGCAAGGCUUCCACCACUCCUCCUGAUGUUUCUGAGAUUCAUCCAGGUUCCUGCAUAUCUUUGUGUCUUCACCGCCUACAAAGCUCUGGUUCUCAAUCAAGUGCUCUCAGCGAAAGCCUCCUGAGUGCUGGCUGGGAUUGCAGUGUACUCCACCAUGCCCACCUGCAGCAUUCAGACUUCUUGAAAAACCCAGCCUGGACUAAAACUAUGCUGGCCUCUAUAGAUGACCAGAGAAGAUGCAAGAUCAGAAAUGUUCACAUUUUAUUCUUUUCUUUUCUUUUUUUCCACAAUCUCUAUGAGGAUGAGAAGUAACUGAAGUGGCCUCUUGAUUUAGAACAGGAUUGGGAUGUUCCCUAGUUUCAGUUGUUCCCUUUCAGACCACUAUUCCAAGAACAGACAGAAUGUGGUUGGAGCGUGGGUGGAGGUGGCAGGUACUUACAAAUGCUCUGUCACAUUUUUCACACAAAAGUCAUUGACUAUGAGAUAGGGAAAAUGAGAUUCAUAGAAAUGUGUUGGAGAAAAGUUCCAUUAAGUGCCUCAUAAACUUAAUGGCUAUUGUUUUGAACUACCUGACAGAUUUCCUGGCAUGGAGAUUGCCAUGAGGCUGAAUUUCUUGUCUUAAUGAGAACCAUAAUUAGCAUUCAGAUAGCUCCCAGGCACCUCUGAAAGUGGCAUCAAAACAGAGUAGAGUGUUGCUCUUAAAAAUCAGCUACUGUGAAGCGCUCCAUUUACCAUGUGUUUAUUACGUGUCUUCACCCAUGUUGAGUGAUUAUUACUUUAGCUGUUUUAUUUAAUUAUUUCAACAAAUCACCUUGAACAUAUGAGCAAAAUUAACAAAAUCAUGGGUGUAUGUAAUUUAUGAUUUUAUCAUUUCUCUGACCUUUGUUGUUUUAUAAACAUGCUUCAAUCUCAUUGUUUGAAAAUCAGUAGCUCUCCCUCUCUCUCUCCCUCUCUGGUGCUGGGGACCCAGGGCCUUACACAGGCUAAGUACCAGCUCUACCACUGAGCAACGUCUCUGGACUCAUUCAUUUUUCAAUUACUGUGUUUUUUUUCCUAGGUCAGUAUAAUGUAAACGAUUUAUUUAUAAAUAAAUAUGCUAGAGUUUGAGUCUCCCACAAGUUCACGUGUUGAAAACUUAAUCCCUAAAUCCGUGUUGAUGGAUCAGGGUGGUGAGAGGUGAUUAGGAUCAGAUGAGGUCUUGGAUGUGGGGCCUCAUGAUGGUGUGAAUGGCUUUAUAAGAGGUGGAAAGGAGCCUUGGACCAGUGCUCCUGCCCUGUCCUGCUGUGUUGACCACCAUCUUAUGGUGCAGCAAGAAGGCCCUCACUGUCACCAGACAGCAACACUUUAAAAGUACACUCUCAAAGCAAUAGAGUGCAAAGCUGGGUACAUUUAGGGUGCAACUGGGGGUGGCAAUCUGUAGAGCUUAUAAGUGUAUGGAAAGAGGAGGUGGAAGGUUAUGGUGCUCUUGGUAGGGAGGAGUGCUGACCUAGUCCCAGGUGAUCCUCCAGACCAUUGGGGGAUCUGUGGCCAUCCAAAGGGAAAAGUCCAUUUUGCAAGUGAAAAGGAAUGGCUGAGGUCCUUUUACAAGUGAAGGGAAAUGGCUCAGGGUUUUUGAGUCUUGGGAGAAAAAUUUUUAAAACUAGGUUUGUAUCCUGAAGCCAGAGUUCUUUUUUUGGGGGGGGGGGUACCCGGGAUCAAACUCCGGAACUUGCGCUUGCUUGUGAGGUAGGCAGUGGAACCAGUGGGCUAAAUACCCGGCCCCAGAGUUCUUAUUUUUAAAAUUAUGAGUUUCCUUGUCUCCUUUCACCUGUCUUUAUUUCUUCUUUCCUACCUCAUCGCUGGACCUUGGCACUGUGCUUGUGGACUCACUAGUCUCCAGAACAGUGAAUGAAAUAAACCUCUAUUCUGUAUAAAUUAUCCAGUCUCUGGUGUUCAGUUAUAGCAGCAGAAAAUGGACAAUGGAAAUCGCAAAAUAUGAUAUCUGAAAUACACAGGGAAAUAAAUCACAUUAAAUUUGUUAUCUAGUAUUAUUUGUGUUACAAAUUUGUAUUAUAAAACAUUGUUUUGAAACAAUGUGUCUCUAUGUGUAAAUACCGAAUAGUUUCUCUAGUGUGAGAAACUGAAAGUGUAGUUAAGGAUACACACGGAUGAAAUGGCCUAAUAACAUACUUCUCGGAUUGUGUUUCCAUCAGGUGUCAUAUGACUGUAUCGAAAUUUAAAUUAGGGAGAAGUUUGGCUUAUGUGGAGUCUGCUAACUAACUGGAGUUUUUUUUUCCAGAUCAUUAUUUGUUCAAUGUUGGUUUUAGGGACCUUUCUGAAACAAAUCACAUCCUCUGGUGUCUUGUUGGUGCUUGAGAUGCUUUUUUAAGUUAUAUGGAAAAAUGUUUAAGUGCUUUUCAGUUCUGUUUUGGUUGAGUUCUACUGUAUUUGAAUAUUAUUGUAGUUUUUUUCCCCUUGCAUUGUUCUUCUUUGAGUGGUUUUAAUUUUUUGUAUGU
Molecule: long non-coding RNA, 2691 nt
Organism: Heterocephalus glaber (naked mole-rat)
Lineage: Eukaryota; Metazoa; Chordata; Mammalia; Rodentia; Bathyergidae
Source: Ensembl